This 407-nucleotide ribosomal RNA is filed under the name uncultured bacterium. RNAcentral's name for it is "partial 16S ribosomal RNA". It matches the Rfam family "Bacterial small subunit ribosomal RNA", at positions 28 to 526 of the family's 1533-position model. The record is from RNAcentral.
GACGAACACUGGCGGAGUGCCUAAUACAUGCAAGUAGAACGCAGUUGCGAACGGGGGAGUCAAGCAUAGGUAACUGCCUGGUCGCGGGGGAGAACUAUUGGGAACGAUAGCUACUACCGCAUACUACGAGAUGGACCUGCGUUGUAUUCGCUAGUUGGUGAGGUAACGGCUCACCAAGGCAACGAUACAUAGCCGACCGUAGAGGGUGAUACGCCACACUGUGACUUAUACACGGCACAGACUCCUACGGGAGGCUGCAGUAGGGAAUCGUCGGCAAUGGGGCGAACCCGGACCGAGCAACGCCGCGUGAGUGAAGAAGGGUUUCGGAUCGUAAAGCUCUGUUGUUAAGGAAGCGGUACUUAACCAGAAAGGGACGGCUAACUACGUGCCAGCAGCCGCGGUAAUAC